Molecule: long non-coding RNA, 578 nt
Filed under: Olea europaea (common olive)
Lineage: Eukaryota; Viridiplantae; Streptophyta; Magnoliopsida; Lamiales; Oleaceae
Description: long non-coding RNA (OEUR_LNC011923)
Source: RNAcentral
CGGGUCAAAACUUUAAAAGUUCAAAUUAAGAACCCCUUAUUGAAAAUUACAUUUUAACCCAUAACUGAAACCAUUAACAAACCAAGAAAUAAAAACCCACAUAACGGAGGAAAACGGGAUAAAACUGCCGAAGAGUCAUCAGAAUGAUCCAAUCUUCACAUAAUGAGUAUCAAGAAAACACCAUAAACCAAAAGAUUCUUGGAAUGAUUCCUGGAAAUCACGAUAUCUUCACAUUAGAAUUAAAAGGGAUGAACGAGAAAAACAAUGUUUCUCCGAAAAAUACUUGAAUUUGCGAGGGGAAAAAAAAUCCGUCACACGAUUCCCGCCAUCGAAAUUUACGAUUCCCAAUCCCACAGGCUCUCACAUUGAGAAAAAGCACUCCUGGUCUCCUCCUCUUUUUUUUUUUUUUGUUGUUAUAUCAAAACUUCAUUUAGCGAUUUGAGAAAUAGAGAGGUGAGAGAGGCAGUGUUUUGCUCAUUGGGUUUCCUGACUUAGUUCUGGAAAACUGUGGGAUUUUGGAUUUCUGUAGAAUUGGGUUUUGAUGGCUUACGUUUGUUAUUUUUUUUUUUUUUCACAGC